Molecule: long non-coding RNA, 4128 nt
Organism: Hippocampus zosterae (dwarf seahorse)
Lineage: Eukaryota; Metazoa; Chordata; Actinopteri; Syngnathiformes; Syngnathidae
Exons: 2
Source: RefSeq, a predicted model, not a curated record
UCCUCAAAACUCACUUGUAUUCUUUGGCGUUCGACUCAGCAUGAUUUGUCCUUGAUUUUACUGCUUGGUGCUUUCCACCGCCUUUAUUACCGAUUCGUCUUACUGUUUAUUGUGUAUGUUAAAUCGCUCCAUGUACAGCACUUUGUAUGCAGCGAUGGCUGUUCGAAAGUGCUCUAUAAAUACUGUUGACUUGACUUGUGUGGUGGAUCCCUCUUUAUUUAAAUACUGUACUCCCCUCUUCCUGGCACCACAGGCACCUGUUGAGGCUAUCUCUGUGCUGUGCUGGGCAAACUCCCCUUAACUUUGAGAAGAAAAAAAAUAUUUAUUCAUCCUUACUUCUGAUUGGGGUGUUGAUCAUUUGAAUGUAUAUGUCCUUCAGGCAGGCUUCUCACAUAAGAAUCGAACCCAGAGGAUCAGUCUGAACCACACUAUUUCAUUGUGUCCUUGAAAGAAUCCAAAUGUAAUUGAAUCACCUCAUAUAACAAGCAGUGAAGGUCAGAGUCAUUUGAUUCGUAACCCCAAGAGAGCCAGGUAAGUUAGCCAAAACCGCUCCUGCGAAAAUACCCUCUCCAUUUAUUACGAAUGUGAUAGGCUUAGUUACCUGGCUACUGCAUAUGGCAGCCCCUUUCAAGCACGUGUCUACCUAAUUGCUCACAUUUUACUGCAUUGAGUCAGUCUUUUUGCAAUUUCAAAGUGAAAUUCAACACUGUGCUGCCUUUUAUUGACAUUUGAAGUGGUGUUUUUAAGUGCACAUUACACCAUACACCAAGGUGCUCACGAACCAUGAUUAGAAGCCAAUCCCCAAGACUGAAAUAUUGUCUGAAAUACACUUACAUACAUACGCAGCAGGGGUGCCCAAACUUUUUGGACCAGAGAUCUACUUUUUGAUCAACCAACCUCCUGCGAUCGACCCGUUACCGUGCACAUGCUGAUACGCACACACUUACACAUGCAUGCCAUGAUGAGCAACCGCCAUAAUGCUCCCUAAGAUGAACAAAACAGAAAAAUAAAGUAGACACAAGAGUUUAUUAAAUGGAAAUCACUGCCUACCGGGAGACCUGACGCGGAGGCAUGCGACGGACUUUUGCAGCCUGUUAACAAUCGUAGCUCACGCGUACCAUUUUAAAAUGCUUCUCUUGGCCCUCCAGAUUGCCAUUCUUUGCGAGUGCUAUCGGUGAAAUGUACACGAAAUGAACAUUGACUGAUGAUAAUCAUAAUAAUAAAAGCUAUAUUGCAACAGCUCUGAUCGCAAGCUGCAAUUACAAUUGACUGCUGAGCGCUAACAACUUCCGGUGACGUAUAGGUUAAAGUUUAUUUUUAAAAAUACUUUUUGUGAAAGUGUGACUGAUAUGAUGAUUAGGGUGCAGUGUGCAUUUACACAAAAAUAUAUUGCAAUAACAUGGACAGAGACACAAAUGUGAAAUUUUUUUCCUUGACACCCCUUGCGAUCGACUUGGAACCACUCCACGAGCUACCGGUCGAUCGCGAUCGACGUUAAUGGGCACCCCUGACCAAAGAGUUUUCAGCGACAAUGUUUAACAUGCUUUGGUUCACAAACAAAACAAAACUGGGCUCUCACCUUGGUCGGUUUACAAUGGGGUUCCUUAUAUUCUAUCAAAGACGUCACUCGCCGGUGAUUGCCGAACAAUUGGAUUUUCGUUGUUAAGUGUGUUGCGAUGGGUCUAACUAUGAACCUUGGUGGGUUGCGAAAGUAUGCUUAAAAUAGUUUUCCCCCUAAGAAUGACUCACAAGAUAGCUGGCCAAGUUUACUUCACGCUUGACCUUCAAAAGAAUCUCCCAGCACACCACCAAUCAAACAUAUUACAAAAAGGAACAGAAAUAAUGAUGAUCCUGAAAUGUACUCACUAAGGGGCAUAAGUCAGAAAAGGUGUGCUGAUGCACACUUUGUUUGACUGUGCAGAUUCUCCAAGUGACUUAGUGUGCCACCUUGAUGAAAUCUUAAGAAACCUUUAUUAGUCUCGCAAUGUACGCAUUCUGGGUGGAGUGACCUUCAAAUGGGUGUCUUCUGUAACAAAUGUGACAAUGCACGCAUUCUCUCAUAGACUUAAGUGUCUUUUGGCUUCUGCGUUCUGGAGACUGUGCUAAGUUCUUGGGCAUUUUGAAGGCCAAACAUCAUAUUGCACGCUAACGGCAGGUGAAAACUCGACCAACUCGGCUGAUUCAUGCUGAUGUCUUGAGUACAAAAUGAUUUUUCUGUUGUAUGAAAGGCAAACUGUGGACAGCAACAGGUCUGCCGUCUAGUGAAAGAGUAGUUAACUGUUUGACCUUUCACUAGCUGGGUUUACAUGAAUACACAUGACUAUCCAAAUAACUCUCAAAUAUUUUUAGAAUACAUUGUUCUGUUGAUUAUCCCACAGAUUAAUCAGAUACAAUUUUAGUGUAUUACAAAACAUUUUUUUUGUUUCUUAACCAAUUAAUGUUCUUUAUUUGGUAUUGUUUAGUGACAAAAACCAACAACAACUGCUAUACAACAAUUAAGCAAUAUCACGAGAGGGAUUGAAGUUGCCAACCUUUGUGAAACUGACUCAGUAAACUCCCGAGUGGGUGUCUGCACACUCCGGGUUGGCAAUAAGUACAUAUGCUACAGGCUUGCUACACAAAGAAACAUGGGGCAUUCAGGUUGCUUUCAUGUCGGGAACUUGCAAAUGCAUAAUUGUUUUUCUCCAUUAUCACAUUUUAAAGAGAGAGAAGCCAAAAUCGAAGUCACAAUUACAUUUUGGUUAAUCGUCCAACCCUACCGUAAAACGAAUCAAAUAUUUGACUGUCACUGUCUGGACGCUGGAAAAAAUUACUGCACAUCAUUUUGUUUUGAUGUCGACCUGGAUCGUGUUUGACUUUGGGGGUGCCAAUAUAAUUCACCUAUCAGAAAAGAAGACAAUAUUUUUUCACACUCAAAUUGUUCCGCAAUGUGUGGAGUGGGAUGUAGCCGUUAAAAAAAGAAUGGGAAUGGAACGAUGUAACCUCAAAAGGUGAAUGACGAAACCAGCCACAGACUGAUAUUGGGAGGAAGAGGUGGGAAGAUUGGAGGCCUUGGGCUUUUGUAGCGUGACUGCGACUGGGAGCCCCUCUUGUCUGUGUUUUCACUGGGUGGUUUUGUCUGUGGGUUAUCGAAAACAUUUCAGGAAUUUCCCUCUGAGCUCCAUUCAGGAGAAGCCUGUCAAAAGCAAGUAUGGUAGCUUUUUAGGAUUCCUCUUCAUUGCCUCCUAGUUAGCAGGUUCAGUCAUUGUCAACUCUGAUGGACAUAACAUGUAGCUGCCAGACUGGAUCAGAUUACGACUAAAAAAGCAGGCCAGGGCCCGAAGAGGUUUUUGUGUAUUAAUAGUUCAGUGUGUUAGUGGAUUAGGUUAAGAGUUGGCUGCAAAACUUAACACAACAAAGAGAAUCACACAAUUUGGAUAAUUAAGGACAAGACAUGCCUUGUUCGCCAGUACUAAUGCUAAGGUCAAUGUAAAAUCCCUUUGACAUGCUAACAGGAAAUUAACGUCGACUUCCGUGAGUUCACCAUCAAUCGAAAUCAUAGUAAAGGAUUUUUUUUUCCAUUUAGGCUGCCAACCUUACUCAACAAGUCACAAUGACGUCGACAAUCAAAAUCACUUAUAAUUUAAUCGUUGACAAAUUGUUUAUACAUUUAUUUAUUGGCCGCUUUGUUUUUCUGUCGAAUCUGCCAUGUCUUCCACUUCUCCCUCUGGCUGUAUGCCUGCCUAUGACACACAUGCACAGUCCCGUAGUGGUAAUCUGGGUCAUCCGUGAUGUAAACAGAAGCAUUAUGGGUAAUGCAUUGUCAUGGCUUACCCGCCAUGUCAGUAAUAGAGUCCUAAAGUUCGAGCUCAUUUCACUCAAAAAUUCCCUUUCAUAGAAGCACAGUUGUGCUAAACAAGCAUCUAAAAAGGAAGCACAUGGGUCAUGCCUGAUUUCAUUUCUGCCAUAGGUUUGUGUUUGGAAGCUACCAUUAGCGCACACAGGCCACCUUGUCCGUUAUUGGAACACAAUGUCUUGUUUGGAAAAAUAACAUAUUGUAGCAUCUACUAUGGAUUACGAGGGCAUUAGUGAUUGGACUCACAUUUAAUAACAACCGAAACACCGAUUAAAAAAAAAAAAUAAUAAUAA